CUUCUUCUCAAAAGCAUAUACCAUGACUGAAAAAGGUUAAAUAUGAGUAACACUUGAAAAUAUUCCGCGAAAAUAUUGAAAUGUGUAGGAUUUAAGAAGAACAAGAAGACAGAAAUGUUCGUAUUGAUCUGCGUUCCGAAGGUUAUCCAGACCAAAACAGAAACCGCAGAAUUAUGAUAUUUUUGAUGACGAAUGCUGGAUCUCGCAAAUUGCAGUACAGUAAUCACGGGUUUCCUAUCCACGACAAUUCUUACCUUCCUUGUGGCUUGGAAUUCGUCAUUGCGAAGUGGCUGAAACAGUCUGCAUGGCUGUCUCAUCCCCGGAAAUUGUAGUGUUCUGAAUGGUCCUCUCUGUGAUCAAAGCAAGGACCUCCAUUACAACAUGACGACAGUACUGAUGUUUGAGGUCCAUCUCGCAAAGUUUCCAGGUAUGGAGGACCGCAACAGCAUGACUUCUCUGAAUAUCAAUUCCAGUCCACUCUCCGCAGAAUCGGACGGAGUGUGACUGCUGACUGCAAAAUGCAAAGUCAUUCGACUGCUUGAAACCCAAAAUAAUAAUUUGAUGAGAAAUGAACUUGGACGUUGAAAUGCUAUUUGAAGUCAGAGCAUGACUGCUUCGAAGUUACUAUUAUCAGGUACAACAUACAACCACAAGAACACAUAUGGACAGGUCAGAUUUGUAGCCGUUAAAUGUGACGCCUCCUUCUGUAGGGCAAAGUGUACCUGCACUAGCCAGCCAGUGUUAGCCACUGUUAGCUUUCUGGCAAUUGGAUGUUCAAUAAGCGAAGG
Cryptotermes secundus is the source of this 788-nucleotide long non-coding RNA. RefSeq lists it as uncharacterized. The record is from RefSeq and is a predicted model, not a curated record. Lineage: Eukaryota; Metazoa; Arthropoda; Insecta; Blattodea; Kalotermitidae. The transcript is spliced from 3 exons.